GACUCAUUGAAAUUUCUACUACAUUGAAGCGCACCACAUACUCGUAGAGGAAUUUACCCUCUUGCUAUUUAAUAGAGAAAAGACUGUUCAUAUUUUUUAAAUGAAGUCGGUUAUUACUGAAGUAAGUAUUGCCUAGUUAGACAACCCAAGAGGAGAGGGGGGAGGGGUGAAUUAGACUAUUAAAAUUUUUAACCAUGGAGUGCAGUAAAUAAAUGCUGAACUAAAAAUAGAUGAAGUAAAUAAGGAUGCACAUAUACAAAAACAGUAAAUUUAUAGUGGUUCGGUGUAUUUCAAGCACCUACAUCUACUCCCUAAGCGAUUCUUUGAAAAUUUCACUAUAAUCGACUUGAUUAUAGUGUGUUUGUUUUGUCCGGGCUCACAAAUAAACUUAAUUAAUUUUAGCUCA
RNAcentral lists this long non-coding RNA (406 nucleotides) under Elaeis guineensis (African oil palm). RNAcentral describes it as "long non-coding RNA (EGUI_LNC037725)". Lineage: Eukaryota; Viridiplantae; Streptophyta; Magnoliopsida; Arecales; Arecaceae. The record is from RNAcentral.